UUCCAGUGGCAUCCAGCCAGUACCCUCUCAUGAGGAAGAAUCAAUUUGCAAGGUAUUGAAUAAACCCUUGGGCUCUGCCUUGGAGAGGUGACCACCCAUGAAACCAACUGACAUGAAAGCACCGCAAGAUAAGCUAUCAUCUUAAUAAAUCUGAAGAGGGAGGGUACAAAAGCAGAGAGUGGCCAUGGAAGUAUUUCCAAUGUGGCUAUGGGGACAGACAGCUCCCAUUCAUCAGGACUGUUCUUUGCAUUGGUCUGACCUGACUUACUGGCUGAAUGCGGCUACUGCAUUUCUUGUCCUGUGGUGUUAAACUCAGUGCUAUGCCAUGUGAUCUUACUGGACACUGAACUACAUGAAAGCAAUCCGUAGUGGAUUCUGCCCAGUUCAAGUAAAUUCACCUGCUGUAUUGUUUACAGGAAGGUGCUAUGUGACAUGGAAGUCAUUCAAAGGUUAGGUGCGAGAGAGUUCCUGGAAGCUGAGGUUGUAGGAGUAACAUAUACAAACAGUAUAUUCCUCCAAAUACUACCAGUUUGAGGGUUGUACCUGUGCUUGUCAAGAUGGAAUAGCAUGAAAAGAGUUUGAAGAUUGGAAGCAUAUCUUAGUGCCUAUCCAUUAAAUUCCUGAGACGUGAGAACCAACUUUUUAAACUCUACUUUUAUGAACAUCAAGUCUG
This is a long non-coding RNA of Numida meleagris (helmeted guineafowl), 673 nucleotides long. RefSeq lists it as uncharacterized. NCBI's taxonomy places the organism in Eukaryota, Metazoa, Chordata, Aves, Galliformes, Numididae. The record is from RefSeq and is a predicted model, not a curated record. The transcript is spliced from 4 exons.